GACGAACGCUGGCGGCGUGCUUAACACAUGCAAGUCGAACGGAAAGGCCCUGCUUUUGUUGGGUGCUCGAGUGGCGAACGGGUGAGUAACACGUGAGUAACCUGCCCUUGACUUUGUGAUAACUUCAGGAAACUGUGGCGAAUACCGGAGAGGAUCUCCUGCUGCAUGGUGUUGGUUGGAAAGUUUCGGCUGUUGGGGAUGGACUCGCGGCUUAUCAGCUUGUUUGUGGGGUAGUGGCUUACCAAGGCUUUGACGGGUAGCCGGCCUGAGAGGGUGACCGGCCACCUUGGGCCUGAGGUACGGCGCAGACUCCUACCGGAGGCAGCAGUGGGGAAUAUUGCACAAUGGGGGGAAGUCUGAUGCAGCAACGCCGCGUGCGGGAUGACGGCCUUCGGGUUGUAAACCGAUUUCGCCUGUGACGAAGCGUGAGUGACGGUAAUGGGUAAAGAAGCACCGGCUAACUACGUG
Molecule: ribosomal RNA, 468 nt
Filed under: uncultured bacterium
Lineage: Bacteria
Description: partial 16S ribosomal RNA
Rfam family: Bacterial small subunit ribosomal RNA
Source: RNAcentral